Molecule: long non-coding RNA, 459 nt
Filed under: Rattus norvegicus (Norway rat)
Lineage: Eukaryota; Metazoa; Chordata; Mammalia; Rodentia; Muridae
Description: long non-coding RNA NONRATT010290
Source: RNAcentral
GGAAAAUCUGAGAGCCCACAGACAGAUGAAGAUUAUUAUUAACUAGAAGAUCAUGGCUACCUAUGCAAUAUGUUGGAUUAAGUGCAAAAUGAUUAAGGACAAUGGCAUUUGAGCAUCCAAGCAAGUGUAAGACCCAUGACUAUACAGGGCACACUCCACGAGCACAGAGCCAGCUCUGGAUAAGAAAUUUCAAGAAGUCUACUGAAAGCCAAGCUUGGAGCUGGAGAGCUGGCUCACAAGUUAUGGGUUCUUGCUGCUUUUCUUGUGGAUUUGAGUUUAGUUCUCAGCAUCCACAUAAAGCAGCAAUCACCUGGCUUAGUUCCUGGGGUUCGGGUGCCCUCUCACCCUCUUCUGUGCUGCCUGACCAUCUGGAUUCACACAUGCAUAUUCACACACACAAUCGUGUAAUUGAAAGUGUUUAAUAAAGGUUUAAAAUUUUUAUUAAAAAAAAAAAAAAAA